GAGGGUAUAGCUCAAGUGGUAAAGCAUGUGAUUAGCAUGCACGAGGUCCUGGGUUCAAUCCCCAGUACCUCCA
Molecule: transfer RNA, 73 nt
Organism: Camelus ferus (Wild Bactrian camel)
Lineage: Eukaryota; Metazoa; Chordata; Mammalia; Artiodactyla; Camelidae
Rfam family: tRNA
About the family: Transfer RNA (tRNA) molecules are approximately 80 nucleotides in length. Their secondary structure includes four short double-helical elements and three loops (D, anti-codon, and T loops).
Source: Rfam